UGGGGAAUAUUGGACAAUGGGGGAAACCCUGAUCCAGCAAUGCCGCGUGAGUGAUGAAGGCCUUCGGGUUGUAAAGCUCUUUUGCCUGUGACGAUAAUGACGGUAACAGGAGAAUAAGUCCCGGCUAACUUCGUGCCAGCAGCCGCGGUAAUACGAAGGGGACUAGCGUUGUUCGGAAUUACUGGGCGUAAAGGGCGCGUAGGCGGUUUUGUGCGUUAGAUGUGAAAGACCUGGGCUUAACCUGGGAAGUGCAUUUAAUACGGCAAAACUAGAGGACGAGAGAGGAAAGUGGAAUGAUGCAUGUAGAGGUGAAAUUCGUAGAUAUGCAUUGGAACACCAGUGGCGAAGGCGACUUUCUGGCUCGUAACUGACGCUAAGGCGCGAAAGCGUGGGGAGCAAACA
This 402-nucleotide ribosomal RNA is filed under the name uncultured Alphaproteobacteria bacterium. Its description in RNAcentral is "partial 16S ribosomal RNA". It matches the Rfam family "Bacterial small subunit ribosomal RNA", at positions 355 to 774 of the family's 1533-position model. Lineage: Bacteria; Pseudomonadati; Pseudomonadota; Alphaproteobacteria. The record is from RNAcentral.